GCAAGAGCUGCUGCCUCAUUCCUGAAAAUCCCAGUCCUCUCCUGUGUCUGGAGUAGUGGUGCUGUGGGGUUCCUGAUAUGUCCUGUACUGCACUGACUUGUGUCUCUUGGCUGGUUUUCUACCUUCAGGUGGGCAGCACCUCUCAGGGCUCCAUGCCUCACCUGAGCUUUGACGAGGAAGAUGCUGCAUCACUGGCAGCACAUGUUUGGUGGUAUCAGGUAUCUGUGGUAGAAGAGCAUGCUGGAUUCCUGCCAGUGUUUGCAGUGAGGCAGUUACCUGAGUCUCGAUGCUGUUCAGUGGAUGAGUGGAGUGGUACGUGCAGGAGAAACUAAGCUCAACCAAAGGAGGAAACUGAAAAAAACCCAGAAGGAUAUUAAUCAGACAAGACAUGAGUAACCUGAAGAAGAGGUGAGUUAUAAAUUUCCACAUUCAGAGGACACUGCUUGCCUUGUACCUUUCAAACUUGUUAGUGCCACUGCUGAUUCAAGCAGUAUUUCUGGCA
Molecule: long non-coding RNA, 502 nt
Filed under: Cyanistes caeruleus (blue tit)
Lineage: Eukaryota; Metazoa; Chordata; Aves; Passeriformes; Paridae
Description: lncRNA (ENSCCEG00000016069.1)
Source: RNAcentral